AAAGGGGUGCCUUAAAGGCUGAGAUUAUACCCUCCGAACCUGAAGCGGAUAAUGCCGACGCAGGGAUUGUUGACAUCU
RNAcentral lists this non-coding RNA (78 nucleotides) under pig gut metagenome. RNAcentral describes it as "TPP riboswitch (THI element)". The stretch from base 1 to 68 matches the Rfam family "TPP riboswitch aptamer (THI element)", at positions 9 to 90 of the family's 105-position model. Rfam says of the family: Vitamin B(1) in its active form thiamin pyrophosphate (TPP) is an essential coenzyme that is synthesised by coupling of pyrimidine and thiazole moieties in bacteria. The record is from RNAcentral.